Molecule: transfer RNA, 65 nt
Filed under: Dipodomys ordii (Ord's kangaroo rat)
Lineage: Eukaryota; Metazoa; Chordata; Mammalia; Rodentia; Heteromyidae
Rfam family: tRNA
About the family: Transfer RNA (tRNA) molecules are approximately 80 nucleotides in length. Their secondary structure includes four short double-helical elements and three loops (D, anti-codon, and T loops).
Source: Rfam by way of RNAcentral
GGUGGCUCAAUGGUAGAGGACUUGCCUUGUAUGCAUGAGGCCCUGGGUUUGAUUCCCCAGCACCA